This 516-nucleotide ribosomal RNA is filed under the name Dardanus fucosus. RNAcentral's name for it is "partial 16S ribosomal RNA". It matches the Rfam family "Bacterial large subunit ribosomal RNA", at positions 1819 to 2600 of the family's 2925-position model. Lineage: Eukaryota; Metazoa; Arthropoda; Malacostraca; Decapoda; Diogenidae. The record is from RNAcentral.
GUCUCUUUGAAGCUGUAAAGAGUCUGGCCUGCCCACUGAAUUAUUAAAGGGCCGCGGUAUUUCUGACCGUGCGAAGGUAGCAUAAUCAUUAGUCUUUUAAUUGAAGGCUUGUAUGAAAGGUUGGACGAGAGAGAAGCUGUCUCAGUUAAAAACUUGAAGUUAACUUUUAGGUGAAAAGGCCUAAAUAGCUUGAAAAGACGAUAAGACCCUAUAAAUCUUAAUACUAAUUUGGCUAGUCCUUUGAUUUGUUUGUAAAAAAAGUAUUAGUUUACUGGUAUUCUGUUGGGGCGACAAAAAUAUAAUAUGUUUACCUGUUUUAAACUAAAUACAAUUAUUUUUGAUUGGUAUAAAGAUCCUUCUUAGAGAUUAAGAGAUUAAGUUACUUUAGGGAUAACAGCGUUAUUUUUCUUGAGAGUUCCUAUCGAAAGAAGAGUUUGCGACCUCGAUGUUGAAUUAAAAUUUCUUUGUGGUGCAGCCGCUACAAAAGAAAGUCUGUUCGACUUUUAAAUUUUUACA